GAUGAACGCUGGCGGCGUGCCUAAUACAUGCAAGUCGAGCGAACAGAUAAGGAGCUUGCUCCUUUGACGUUAGCGGCGGACGGGUGAGUAACACGUGGGUAACCUACCUAUAAGACUGGAAUAACUCCGGGAAACCGGGGCUAAUGCCGGAUAACAUUUAGAACCGCAUGGUUCUAAAGUGAAAGAUGGUUUUGCUAUCACUUAUAGAUGGACCCGCGCCGUAUUAGCUAGUUGGUAAGGUAACGGCUUACCAAGGCAACGAUACGUAGCCGACCUGAGAGGGUGAUCGGCCACACUGGAACUGAGACACGGUCCAGACUCCUACGGGAGGCAGCAGUAGGGAAUCUUCCGCAAUGGGCGAAAGCCUGACGGAGCAACGCCGCGUGAGUGAUGAAGGUCUUCGGAUCGUAAAACCCUGUUAUUAGGGAAGAACAAAUGUGUAAGUAACUGUGCACGUCGUGACGGUACCUAAUCAGAAAGCCACGGCUAACUACG
This 495-nucleotide ribosomal RNA is filed under the name uncultured bacterium. RNAcentral's name for it is "partial 16S ribosomal RNA". It matches the Rfam family "Bacterial small subunit ribosomal RNA", at positions 28 to 505 of the family's 1533-position model. The record is from RNAcentral.